AAACUGACAGAUUUGGACCAUUAAUGUAGAAGGAAAAAAAUUUCAAUCCAAGUGCCCUGUUAAAUAUCACAGUCCACUGAUGAGUUUCUUAGUGACUUUCAUUCAGCUUUCUAAAACCUGAAAUAGAACCUCUAAGCACCCUUGCUAGCCAAGGUACAGAAAAGAGCUGCACUCAUUUGAUGGAAGAGAAAAGGCACCAUUUCAUUUCACUCCUCGUCACGGGUUGGAAGGAACCUAUUCAAUUCCUAGAAAGAAGGAUCAGGAAAUGAUGAAUGGGUGCUAUGCCUCUGUGUCAAGGGCUCAGAAAGGGAGGCAGUGUGAUGUUGGCUGCAACGCUGUGUUGGUCAGGAAUCUUGGGUUGCAAGAUCCAUAAACUCCACUUAAACCAGCUUAAGCCAAACAAAUGGACAGAGAUUGAAACAAGAUUUCUUUAUGCUGGUAGUUUUACUUUUCCAAUGCCUGCCACGGACAUGGCCACUUUACACGACCUGGUAACCGUUAUUCUACUUUCUGUGUCUAUGAAUGUGACUGUUCCAGGGAUUUCAUGACAUACCGUGCCUCCUCUCCAGAGGACCAGCAUUCAGAGCGCCAUCUUGGAAGCAGAGAGACCAGGCCCUAAUCUGCAGGUGCCUUGA
Microcebus murinus (gray mouse lemur) is the source of this 635-nucleotide non-coding RNA. NCBI's taxonomy places the organism in Eukaryota, Metazoa, Chordata, Mammalia, Primates, Cheirogaleidae. The record is from RefSeq and is a predicted model, not a curated record.